This 489-nucleotide ribosomal RNA is filed under the name uncultured bacterium. Its description in RNAcentral is "partial 16S ribosomal RNA". It matches the Rfam family "Bacterial small subunit ribosomal RNA", at positions 28 to 507 of the family's 1533-position model. The record is from RNAcentral.
GACGAACGCUGGCGGCGUGCUUAACACAUGCAAGUCGAACGGAAAGGCCCCCAUCUUGGUGGGGGUGCUCGAGUGGCGAACGGGUGAGUAACACGUGGGUGAUCUGCCCUGUACUUCGGGAUAAGCUUGGGAAACUGGGUCUAAUACCGGAUAGGACCAUGGUUUAGUGUCUCAUGGUGGAAAGAUUAUUGUUUUGGUGCAGGAUGAGCUCGCGGCCUAUCAGCUUGUUGGUGGGGUAAUGGCCUACCAAGGCGUCGACGGGUAGCCGGCCUGAGAGGGUGGACGGCCACAUUGGGACUGAGAUACGGCCCAGACUACUACGGGAGGCAGCAGUGGGGAAUAUUGCACAAUGGGCGCAAGCCUGAUGCAGCGACGCCGCGUGGGGGAUGACGGCCUUCGGGUUGUAAACUCCUUUCGUUAGGGACGAAGCCGCACUUUUUUUGGGUGUGGUGACGGUACCUUUGUUAAGAAGCACCGGCUAACUACGUG